UGGCCUUUGCUGUCACGCUUUAUGAAUACCUGGCAGCAAUGAUCAAAGAAAUCUUAUACAUGGCAGAAUCAUGUGUUCGGACGUGUUACUACGUGCGUCGAAUAGUUAAUUUGCAUCUACAACCAAAGUGUAAAACUUUUCAAGGAAGUCACACAAUGCUGCUUAGAAGCAAAUAUAUUCGCGAAGAAUUUGGUCUUUAAGUGGGUUUUCAGCUAUCUACAAGUAGUGAUAGUGGGUUGUGAAACUGGGCAAAUCUGAGAAGCGAAUACGAGUCGAUUUCGAAAUUGUGCACGCGGUUCUAAUUAUUCAGGUAGGUAGGCAAUUUCAGUAAAUAUAGUUCUAGUGAAUAUGUUUCGUCAAGAAGACUAUACCUGGCAGAAACUCCAGAGUGCAAGACCUCUACACAGCAGUGUCUAUUCGAUAUCCCAACUUAUUUUACCAUCAUUUCAAAGCCGACGGGGGAAUCAGUAGAUUGUAUAUGUGGGCAGUGGCAGUAGUAAGGUGUUCACCUGAACUCAACAAUGAAAGGCAACAGCAGAGAAAAACGUAAACUGAACCAAGACAACUUGUGCCGACUAACCGUAAUAACGUAACAUGAAUCUGAAGACGCAGCGGACGCACACGACACCAACAUUAUGGCUGGCAGCGCUUUUCCUUCGGUAAAUGAUUCUGAGGCGAUCGAUUGUAUCAGAUUCAGGAAACAAGAAAGCUCCGCAAAGCAAAACGCAAAGUUUUCAGGAACGCAAGAAUACCCCACGCUACUUUUUCAGGGGCAGCGCGCAAGACCUUGAAGUACUCCGGUGGACAGAUAAAUAUGUGGAAACUCCGACAAGCUCCGGAAUAAAACGUUGUGGGUAAUAAUGUGACCAACAUAGAAAAGAAGCGAAGGACGAGGCAGACGGUGAAGCCGCCAGUGGUAAAAAGAAGCGCAUGUUGGCUUUACAAUAUAAAUAACAUUCAACGGAAGUGUUUGCGGUAUCGGAAGCGCUCGAAAGCCCAAAGACGUUCCGGCCAGGAUUCUUUCGAUUAGAUAAGCUGCCGGUGCUUACAAUGUUUAGCUUCGGAUGAAUGAACUGUUUGCGCUCUUCACGCUGGACGAGGCUUCAGGCUGGGCAGCGAGGGCUUUCAUUAGAGUUUGUUUAGAUGAUGCACGCAUGCCUUUGUCGUGUUAGCAGCGACAUAACCAAAGGACGCUUUCAUUUCUGCGAUAGAGGACGUCAUUAGUAGAAGCUAAUGGAAAUUCUCCCGUUCUAGUUCACGAGAUCAAGCAGCAAUAUCGAUCCUUCUUGCUUCCUGCUCCCGUACAGGCACCAGAUGACACGUAUAGGUUAGGGGACGCGAAGGUAUGCUGCUGGUGCUACGCGGCUCUAGAUGAAAAGAAAGGGCUAGUCAAAUAAAGAUGGUGAAGACCGACAAGGGGUACGAAUGAAGUCUGAUGAAUGCCCGAUGUGGAAGAGCAGCCUGGCUCCGGUGGCUUUGCAGGGACUUUGCGCUGGCAAACGACAAAUGUAGACAAAGCAAGCGCGGCGGUCUAAUCGAGGAAGGCAAAUCUGAGAUGAAGCUGCUGAUGCUGCUUUGUAGGAAAUAGACAACAGCGUGAAUGCCGUUAGAGUAGAGUAAGUGGAAGGUCCGAUGAAAGGCCCAAUGAAAUGGCGAAGUGGUGAUGGUCAGGCCAGUGUUGGUGUGGAUAAGCAGACUGGUUUUCUAUUCCUGCUAGCGUGCAGCGUUGUCUCCGUCACUCUCAGAAUUGUUGGAUCGUGCUGCUGCUGGCGUAAAAGGCAUGAACACUGCUAGAUCACAACUACUACCACCACCGUCUAAUCUACGAUCAUCAUAUCACGUCGAUACGUAUCGGCACGCCAUCUACCAAUGUCAAAGCUAACCCUGCUAUAACCCUGCGCUUGUUAAACACGAUAAGCGACCUCUAGAGGCCGGCUAGAGUAUAGGUUAGGGUCUGUGAGAACCUUUUACGCUAAACGGUUCUGGUCACAUACUGUGGUCGGAGGCUAUUUGCAGGACCCUUUACAUUACUACGGUCUACUCUUGUUCGCAGCAAACGAAUUCCAGAGUUCAGCCAGAAGAAGAAGAAGGGCUUAGACGGACCUCCUAGAUGUUAUGAGCAUUCUGCGGUGAUAGA
Molecule: long non-coding RNA, 2137 nt
Organism: Varroa destructor (honeybee mite)
Lineage: Eukaryota; Metazoa; Arthropoda; Arachnida; Mesostigmata; Varroidae
Source: RefSeq, a predicted model, not a curated record